Molecule: microRNA precursor, 72 nt
Filed under: Rhodnius prolixus
Lineage: Eukaryota; Metazoa; Arthropoda; Insecta; Hemiptera; Reduviidae
Description: mir-252 microRNA precursor family
Rfam family: mir-252 microRNA precursor family
Source: Rfam by way of RNAcentral
GUUCAGCACUAAGUAGUGGUGCCGUAGUAACGUUUAUUAAUCUUACUGCAGUAUCUCUGCUUAAUGCUGCGC